This 2302-nucleotide unclassified non-coding RNA is filed under the name Hevea brasiliensis (rubber tree). The record is from RNAcentral. Lineage: Eukaryota; Viridiplantae; Streptophyta; Magnoliopsida; Malpighiales; Euphorbiaceae.
GAUAUAUAAAAAUUUAAACCAUACGCUCGAGCUUAUAAUUUCAACGCCAUAUGAGUUGGACUUUGGUUAAAUAUUAUUCUUUCCCUCUGUCUGUGCUGUUUUUUACCCGAAACGCUAUCGGUGUCAUGUUUGAGAGGAGUCUUCCCUUUGGUGGCCAAAUAGCCUUUCUUCUCCUUCUACUUCUCCAAAUUUGCCAUGGUAAGGAUAAUACUUGUAAACCUUCUUCAUGUGGGAAUAUCCUCAACAUUACUUACCCUUUCCGACUACAGACUGAUCCGAAACACUGUGGUGACUCUAGAUAUUCACUGUCCUGUGAGAACAAUACUACAGUAUUGCAUCUGUACUCAAGAAAAUACUUCGUUCAGGCAAUUAACUACAACAACUACACAAUCCGACUGUUGGAUCCUGGUGUUGUUAAAGAUGAUUGCUCCUCCAUGCCUCUUUUUCCUUUAACUCGUGCUGACUUCCCUGAUGGAGGUCCAUAUACACUGGAUAAGAACUUAUCGGUUUCCGAGUGGACCUUAUUUUCAGCAGGAAUUAUUUUCUUGAACUGUGUCGACCCAGUAAAUUAUCCUUUUUACGUGAACGCUACUUCUUGCAUUAAUAAUGGAGCGAAGUAUUCUUUUGUGAAAAUUUACAAGUUCGGCGGCAUGUCAGGAAUGGAAUGGAUGAGCACGUGCACCAUAGUAACGGCAGCCUUGUUGCCUGCUGAAAGGGAUUAUACGAACAUGUCCUUCGUUGAAGUUCACAGAGAGCUGGCUUACGGGUUCGAAAUUUCAUGGCUGAAUCUGUACUGCGAAAGAUGCGAAUCCAAGCAGUGCUUCUUCAAUGAAAUUGAAAACCGGAUUCAUUGCUUUGAGGAUAUGCCGGGUGCGUAGUCCUCAUCCUUUGAUUGAUUUGAUUUCAUCAUAAUCUUGUUAAUGAUUAAUUUAGAAAUGAUUACUUGUUUACUUCUAGUGUUGAGUUGUUUGUAAUCAAGGGAAAUUAUUGUCUAAAUCCGUUUACUAUCCACCCAAAAUAUAAGAUCUGUAAACCAAAAGCAAGGAUUCUUUUGUGUUGGUUAAAUAGACUUGGUAUGAUGGAGUACUGGUGGCAGAUUUUUAGGAAAUUAAUUAGAGAGAAUUGGUACAGUAGUUUUUCAUAUCUGAAAGUUUCAUACAGCUCUGUUCUGAAAGGCUAGUUCAUGCGGAUUGAAUAGGAUCAAGUUUUCGUUUUUUCUUGCCAUCUAUAUGUUCGAUAAAAUUACUCUUAGAGUUUCUUUUGUUAACUGACUUACAAUCAUGUAAUUCUAACAAAUCUUUUUUUCCAUUCGUGUUAAUAACAAACUUUUCUUAGGCUAUGAAGUACUAUUAUUAUUAUUAGCAAACUUUUAUUAGCAAACUUCCACCAAAAUUCAUUCAAUUCUCCAGUGAAAAAUUUUAAUGCCUACAAUUCCUUUCCUUUUUUAAUUUCUUUCCAGGUGAUUACAAGGAAGUUUGCUACCUCAGUUCCUCUCUUUUCAGACAUGUAGCGCAGUGCUCCUUCUAUAAUGCCUCGUCAAUCUCACACGGCCUAUCCUACCAAAUUAAAAGUGAGUGGUCUCUAUAUCUCCAUCCUAUUGAUGCUAACAUUUCUUUCCAAUCAAGAUUAUAUGGCAGCCUUUGUCAUUAAGUAAUUUACGUUCACAUCUUCUUCAGGGUCAUUGCCAGCUAUACUUGCUUAUCUUGGUAAGUUCUAGGCCUUUUUCUUCAAAUUAUGAAUCUUAAAUCUAUAAGAUUAAAUCUGGAUUUAGAGAUGAAUUCAUAAGAAGGACCUCAAGUAAUCAAGAAGAUCAUAUAUAAUUCCUCUAUGGAUAAUUUUACUACAUAACAGUUAAUAUUCCAUCCUUUGAAUGUAUGUUGUUCAUGCAGGACUGUUUAUUGCCACAAGAACAUUAUGUGGAACUCCAUUUGUAGUUGUGUUUUUGGUCUAUAAAUGGCGAAGGAGGCAUUUAUCGGGAUAUGAAACAAUUGAAGAAUUUCUACAAAAUCAACAGAAUAUGAAACCAAUAAGAUAUUCAUACUCAGACAUUAAGAAAAUGACAGGAGGCUUUAAGGAAAAGUUGGGUGAAGGAGGUUUUGGUUGUGUGUAUAAAGGAAAACUUCGCAGUGGCCAUAUUGCAGCAGUAAAGAUGUUGAGCAAGUCUAAAACUGAUGGACAAGAUUUUAUUAAUGAAGUUGCUACAAUUGGAAGGAUUCACCAUACAAAUGUUGUUCAACUAAUUGGCUUUUGUGCCGAGGGAUCAAAGUAUGCUCUUAUAUAUGAUUUCAUGCCUAAUGGAUCU